RNAcentral lists this non-coding RNA (24 nucleotides) under Mus musculus (house mouse). Its record names the gene mmu-miR-19b-2-5p. The record is from miRBase by way of RNAcentral. RNAcentral also lists the same sequence under 1 other name. Lineage: Eukaryota; Metazoa; Chordata; Mammalia; Rodentia; Muridae.
AGUUUUGCAGAUUUGCAGUUCAGC